UAUCAGUAGUUUAUUUUUACACAUGCCAAAAAUACACAUUAUACGAAUAGGAUUAAGUAAAAAAAGAAAAAAAUGCAUUUUAGUGUGAAGGAAGACGCGAUAAACCAGUAAUGGUUAUCGAGCAGCGUCACCUACAAGGAAGUCUAACAUCAAAUUUUAUAAAGGAAUAAAAAGACGAACAUUAAAUACUAAGAGAAUACGAAAAUAGAAUAUAUUCAGGCGACCCGAAUAUCCGAGUCUCGUUCAUAACGAAGGAAGCAAGCGACUCCAGUCACAACAGGCGGGGUAACCAUGUCAACCGCGUUUUAUUAGAUAUCAGAGUGAUAAACCAUAGCAUUAUGAGGUAACUGUGGAUAAACGGGCUAAGAAACCUCGCUUGUCAGCUGCAGUAAGGGCCAUUGUUUUGGGGGUAGUACCUCAUUCGGAAGACAUUAAUAACAAACAAUAUUAUUGGAAUCAGGUUCCGAAAGGGGUUUUCAAAUCUAUACCGGUACGGUACCGUACCGGUACCUACUCAUGGAACUCUACAGUGGCCUGAUGACUGGGUGCUGGUGGCAAAUUCAUACAUGAACAGAAAAAGAGAUCAACUUAAAAAGUGCAGAAAAUUGAUUAUUAAAAGUAUCAAGUCAAUCAAUUCGAGAGGCUGUGGAUCAGAUCAAGCAAUCCUGGCAAUGGCAAAGAGGAAAGCUGACAGCACAUCAACUCUAGGUGCUGGCAGGUGACAGGGCUAUAAUUUUGGAAAUUUGCUAUUCUAAGCUGUUUUAACCGAGCCUAGUUCUGUCUAUCUAUUCUACCACAAUCUUAUUUGCUGCACUUAUUAUCGCAAAAUCUUAGACACGGAAUGCACAUUGGAGGUAUAUGGAGUCGGGCAAUCAUUGCUUCGUUCAUCUGAUCUGUCUUACAUCGCGUCAAGAUACAAAAUGGACGAUUGUCAAUAGUCGGCUGCACUCUUUCGCUGAUUCUAUGGAUCUGACCGACAAACAAACAAUGUUGUUAUCACAGGAUUGCAUUGGAAUAUUUAUGUAUCUUCCUAACUAUCAGUGGUUCAUAAUUUAUUUGAAAUAGAUUGAAAUGUAUGUUCAUGUUAUUUUAUUUGCCUCGAAAAGCAAUGAAAAACAAUCUAAAAUGAAGAUAGGAGAAGCUCACUUAACGGGAGAAAUCUAAA
Styela clava is the source of this 1165-nucleotide non-coding RNA. The record is from RefSeq and is a predicted model, not a curated record. Lineage: Eukaryota; Metazoa; Chordata; Ascidiacea; Stolidobranchia; Styelidae.